UACGUAGGGGGCUAGCGUUGUCCGGAAUCAUUGGGCGUAAAGCGCGUGUAGGCGGUCCGGUAAGUCUGCUGUGAAAGUCGGGGGCUCAACCCUCGAAUGCCGGUGGAUACUGUCGGGCUUGAGUACGGAAGAGGCGAGUGGAAUUCCUGGUGUAGCGGUGAAAUGCGCAGAUAUCAGGAGGAACACCAAUUGCGAAGGCAGCUCGCUGGGACGUUACUGACGCUGAGGGACGAAAGCUAGGGGAGCGAAAGGG
Molecule: ribosomal RNA, 253 nt
Filed under: uncultured bacterium
Lineage: Bacteria
Description: partial 16S ribosomal RNA
Rfam family: Bacterial small subunit ribosomal RNA
Source: RNAcentral